RNAcentral lists this ribosomal RNA (254 nucleotides) under uncultured bacterium. Its description in RNAcentral is "partial 16S ribosomal RNA". It matches the Rfam family "Bacterial small subunit ribosomal RNA", at positions 524 to 776 of the family's 1533-position model. The record is from RNAcentral.
CACGUAGGGGGCAAGCGUUGUCCGGAUUUAUUGGGCGUAAAGAGCUCGUAGGCGGUUCGGUAAGUCGGGUGUGAAACCUCCAGGCUCAACCUGGAGACGCCACCCGAUACUGCUGUGACUAGAGUCCGGUAGGGGAGCGUGGAAUUCCUGGUGUAGCGGUGAAAUGCGCAGAUAUCAGGAGGAACACCGGUGGCGAAGGCGGUUCUCUGGGCCUUACCUGACGCUGAGGAGCGAAAGCGUGGGGAGCGAACAGG